Oreochromis niloticus (Nile tilapia) is the source of this 879-nucleotide long non-coding RNA. RefSeq lists it as uncharacterized. The record is from RefSeq and is a predicted model, not a curated record. NCBI's taxonomy places the organism in Eukaryota, Metazoa, Chordata, Actinopteri, Cichliformes, Cichlidae. The transcript has 2 exons.
UUCACAUGUGAAAACUGUUUUAGAUAAUUAGUCCACUUUGCAAUCAGCCUAAGCACUAUAAACAGGCCACAGGGAAGCUGUCUAUGUGGAGUACAAUGGAAGGAGCAGCAAGAGUGAGAAGAGUGAGAAUCAGAGGAGGCCGAGGGAGAGGACGUGGAGGUGAAGAAGUUGGAGGAAGAGGACGUGGAGGAGCAAGAAGAGGACGAGGAGGGGAAAGAGGAAGGGUAAGAAGAGUAAGAAACAGAAUAACUGAUGACAUCAGAGCUACAAUAGUGGACCAUGUCAUCAACCAUGGGAUGACCCUGAGGGAAGCUGGCCAACGGGUUCAGCCUAAACUGAGCCGCUACACUGUGGCAGGCAUCAUUAGGACAUUUCGAAAUGAGAAUCGAAUUGCUAGACGUCCAGAUGUUGGAGGCAGAGGCAGAAUGUUCACUGCAGAGCAAGAGACCCAUAUAGUGAACAUGGUGAUUGCCAAUAAUGCAAUAAGACUGCGCGAAAUACAGCAGCGCAUAAUUGAUAAUGACACCAUCUUUCAAAAUAUACACAGUGCAAGCAUUUCUGCACUAAGUCGUGUACUUGUGCGCCACAGAAUAAGAAUGAAGCAAAUUUACAGAGUUCCUUUCGAGAGAAACACAGAACGUGUAAAGCAACUGCGAUAUGACUAUGUGCAGGUAAGCUAGUGUCAUUGGUUCUGAAUGUGGAAGUGCAUACUGUAGUGCUGUGCAUGGGCCUGAUGUGUUGGAUUUGUUUUGUCUUGUCCAGAGGGAAGGAACAUUAUUGGACACCGUGCCAUCAUCAAUGUCCCAGGACAACGUGGUGGUAACAUAACCAUGUGUGCAGCUAUAAGCCAAAAUGGUGUUGUUCACCAUCAUGCAACCA